UCGACAUGCAGGCAACGGCUUUCCUAAUUAGAAAUUCACCUGUCGUCUUUCAUCCAGCAAAUUCAUCCUCGCACAACACUGAGAUGAAGGCGAAGUCACCAUGAAAAGUUAAACGUUUACCGUUAAGCUACAGUAACUGAUGUUGAAAAACUGAUGCUACCAAUCACUCCUCACUUGAUUAUUCAAGCUCAGAUUGUGAUGGACCUGGAAUGCGACACCAGUUACUCUUAAGACAAGAACCGAAUAAAGCACAGAUGUGAAGAGGUUUGCAGCCAAACUAACUGGAGGGAAGGAACCUUUAGUGUGGGUGAACAUACUACCUGGAUGUCCAACAAAGGCUGCACAAGAGCUCAUUUGAUAGCACAUAUUCUGUCCUGUCUACAUCUCUGAUGACCUGGAAGUGCUUCGACAUCAGAUCAUCAUCAUGCUGCUGCCCUUUUUCACUGUCCCUUUCCACAUCAUUUGGCCUUCAUCAUUUCCUGUCUUGUAGCAGUAUUUUCACCUGUUUUUAAAAUUGUAAUAAUUUUUGAUGCAUUAAUUGUUGACUGGCUUUAAUGAUCAAUUGUUUAUUAGUGUUCUGUUGCUCUGUUAUAUUGAAUAAUUGCUACUGUGUUAGCAUGGUUUACACAAUAAACCUUUAUU
Danio rerio (zebrafish) is the source of this 642-nucleotide non-coding RNA. NCBI's taxonomy places the organism in Eukaryota, Metazoa, Chordata, Actinopteri, Cypriniformes, Danionidae. The record is from Ensembl.